Molecule: ribosomal RNA, 253 nt
Filed under: uncultured bacterium
Lineage: Bacteria
Description: partial 16S ribosomal RNA
Rfam family: Bacterial small subunit ribosomal RNA
Source: RNAcentral
UACGUAGGGCGCAAGCGUUGUCCGGAAUUAUUGGGCGUAAAGAGCUCGUAGGCGGUUUGUCGCGUCUGCUGUGAAAACCUAAGGCUCAACCUUGGGCUUGCAGUGGGUACGGGCAGACUAGAGUGCGGUAGGGGUGACUGGAAUUCCUGGUGUAGCGGUGGAAUGCGCAGAUAUCAGGAGGAACACCGAUGGCGAAGGCAGGUCACUGGGCCACAACUGACGCUGAGGAGCGAAAGCAUGGGGAGCGAACAGG